CCUACGGGUGGCUGCAGUGGGGAAUAUUGGACAAUGGGGGCAACCCUGAUCCAGCCAUGCCGCGUGUGUGAAGAAGGCCCUCGGGUUGUAAAGCACUUUCAGUGAGGAAGAACGCCUGGUGGUUAAUACCCAUCAGGAAAGACAUCACUCACAGAAGAAGCACCGGCUAACUCCGUGCCAGCAGCCGCGGUAAUACGGAGGGUGCGAGCGUUAAUCGGAAUUACUGGGCGUAAAGCGCGCGUAGGUGGCUUGAUAAGCCGGUUGUGAAAGCCCCGGGCUCAACCUGGGAACGGCAUCCGGAACUGUCAAGCUAGAGUGCAGGAGAGGAAGGUAGAAUUCCCGGUGUAGCGGUGAAAUGCGUAGAGAUCGGGAGGAAUACCAGUGGCGAAGGCGGCCUUCUGGACUGACACUGACACUGAGGUGCGAAAGCGUGGGUAGCAAACAGGAUUUGAUACCCCGGUAGUC
This 465-nucleotide ribosomal RNA is filed under the name Vreelandella stevensii. Its description in RNAcentral is "partial 16S ribosomal RNA". It matches the Rfam family "Bacterial small subunit ribosomal RNA", at positions 338 to 795 of the family's 1533-position model. The record is from RNAcentral. Lineage: Bacteria; Pseudomonadati; Pseudomonadota; Gammaproteobacteria; Oceanospirillales; Halomonadaceae.